Long non-coding RNA from Dromiciops gliroides (monito del monte), 378 nucleotides. RefSeq lists it as uncharacterized. The record is from RefSeq and is a predicted model, not a curated record. The transcript has 3 exons. NCBI's taxonomy places the organism in Eukaryota, Metazoa, Chordata, Mammalia, Microbiotheria, Microbiotheriidae.
UACCCUGUAAUUCUGGCUUCUUCCCUGACAGGAUCUGGUAGUAGAUAUGAUAGCCUCGCUCACCGGGCAGCUGGAAGAUCACUCGGGAUUUCUCCAGGAGGUCUGGGUGGGAGGUGGGAGGGAAGGAAGAAUUAGUGCACAGAAGAACAAAUUAGCCUGGUUUCUCCAACAGAGGGGCUCAGGGGCAGGAAGCUACCUUGGAGGACAGCUGGGACUUCCUUUGCUGAUACAGGAGGGUCCUGGGCUGUAUGUCAGUGAGAAGCUAUCGAUAUCGGCAGAUGCCAGCUUUCCUGAUGGUCCAAAGUGGAUCCGAAUGAACUUACCCUGAGGAAUGAAGGGGGCACAGGCAGGCUGGCAAUGAGGGUUAAGUGACUUGCC